This 723-nucleotide ribosomal RNA is filed under the name Bacillus sp. FJAT-17825. RNAcentral describes it as "bacterial SSU rRNA". It matches the Rfam family "Bacterial small subunit ribosomal RNA", at positions 60 to 763 of the family's 1533-position model. The record is from RNAcentral. Lineage: Bacteria; Bacillati; Bacillota; Bacilli; Caryophanales; Bacillaceae.
AGUCGAGCGAAUGGAUUAAGAGCUUGCUCUUAUGAAGUUAGCGGCGGACGGGUGAGUAACACGUGGGUAACCUGCCCAUAAGACUGGGAUAACUCCGGGAAACCGGGGCUAAUACCGGAUAACAUUUUGAACCGCAUGGUUCGAAAUUGAAAGGCGGCUUCGGCUGUCACUUAUGGAUGGACCCGCGUCGCAUUAGCUAGUUGGUGAGGUAACGGCUCACCAAGGCAACGAUGCGUAGCCGACCUGAGAGGGUGAUCGGCCACACUGGGACUGAGACACGGCCCAGACUCCUACGGGAGGCAGCAGUAGGGAAUCUUCCGCAAUGGACGAAAGUCUGACGGAGCAACGCCGCGUGAGUGAUGAAGGCUUUCGGGUCGUAAAACUCUGUUGUUAGGGAAGAACAAGUGCUAGUUGAAUAAGCUGGCACCUUGACGGUACCUAACCAGAAAGCCACGGCUAACUACGUGCCAGCAGCCGCGGUAAUACGUAGGUGGCAAGCGUUAUCCGGAAUUAUUGGGCGUAAAGCGCGCGCAGGUGGUUUCUUAAGUCUGAUGUGAAAGCCCACGGCUCAACCGUGGAGGGUCAUUGGAAACUGGGAGACUUGAGUGCAGAAGAGGAAAGUGGAAUUCCAUGUGUAGCGGUGAAAUGCGUAGAGAUAUGGAGGAACACCAGUGGCGAAGGCGACUUUCUGGUCUGUAACUGACACUGAGGCGCGAAAGCGUG